This is a small nuclear RNA of Dicentrarchus labrax (European seabass), 108 nucleotides long. The record is from Ensembl. Lineage: Eukaryota; Metazoa; Chordata; Actinopteri; Moronidae.
GUGUUACUCCAGUAGCACAUAUACUAUAAUUGGAACGAUACAGAGAAGAUUAGCAUGGCCCACGCAAGGAAGGAUGACAAGCAAAUAUGUGAGGCAUUUCUCAUUCCU